RNAcentral lists this ribosomal RNA (253 nucleotides) under uncultured bacterium. RNAcentral describes it as "partial 16S ribosomal RNA". It matches the Rfam family "Bacterial small subunit ribosomal RNA", at positions 524 to 776 of the family's 1533-position model. The record is from RNAcentral.
GACGUGGGGGGCCAGCGUUGCUCGGAAUUACUGGGUGUAGAGGGUUCGUAGGCGGUGUAGCAAGUCGGGAGUGAAAUCUCUGGGCUCAACCCAGAGACUGCUUCCGAAACUGCUGUGCUUGAGUGUGGGAGAGGCGCGUGGAAUUGCAGGUGUAGCGGUGAAAUGCGUAGAGAGCUGGAGGAACACCCGUGGCGAAAGCGGCGCGCUGGACCACUACUGACGCUGAGGAACGAAAGCGAGGGGAGCAAACAGG